This is a long non-coding RNA of Girardinichthys multiradiatus, 1104 nucleotides long. RefSeq lists it as uncharacterized. The record is from RefSeq and is a predicted model, not a curated record. NCBI's taxonomy places the organism in Eukaryota, Metazoa, Chordata, Actinopteri, Cyprinodontiformes, Goodeidae. The transcript is spliced from 4 exons.
UAAGGUUUCUUUUUGUGGGGUCCAAAAAUCCCUGGCAGCACCCCUGCUGUUAACAAAAUGAACUCUGGAGAUGUAGGUAUUGUCAACUUCGGAGGAUCGCGAAAGGUACACUGCAGAGCUAACUGGAUUUAGAUAGAGCUUCCAGACCCAUUUCAAAUAGCUGACGAUCUGUGGGUUGACAGUUCUCAGAAUUGGUCUCCAGUUUCGUAUGGAGACUUUUAAAAUUAUCUCAUUGACACGUCUGCACUUUACACAGCAGAAGCAAUGAAGGCAUACAAGUCAUUAGAAGGCUAUAACUUUUUCGUCUGUGGAUUUUACCACAGCAAUGAUUGCAUGAACGCAGUGUUCUUGUUGAAGUUUGCAAUGAUGCCAUUGCAUAAGACAAGAAAGGGCAGCAUUUGGCGUGGGCCUGCCUGGACAAAUUAAAAGACUACGUGGUGUCUGCACAGUGCACAUGCAAAGCAGGGCUUGGGGAGGCUUGCUGUCACAUUGCUGCAGUGUUGUUCAAGGUUGAGGCAGCUGUGAAGCUUGGACUCAACCAUCAGUCCAAAACAAGCACAGCCUGUGUUAAGACCUGCUACUACAAAGGAAAGGUUACAGCUAAACGUGUUGCAGACAUGGACUUCAAGCCAAAACAUGGUCAGGUGAUGAAUGCAAGAGGUGGGAAUCCUGGCCAAGGAGGAUUCUGACACAGACACUGCUUAAGAGGAUGAGGAUAUGCCCCCAGGGCCCUUCAACUUCUACCCAAAACAGAGCUCAGACUGCUGAGAGGCCGUGGCAAUCGUUACGAAAUCCUACACUGGGAGCUUACUGGCGAGUGGUCUAUAUGGAACAAGGCAACAACAGAACUGGGUAGUUACGUGAUGAUUAGAGGUUAUGCAGCCAAAAUGAAAAAAACAAGACCUAAAGGUAUAAGUGGUUUAAUUCAUUAAAUGAAGAAACAAAAACAACAAUCAUUUUCAACAACCAAAUUAACUAUUGUUCUUGUACUCAAAUCUACUGUAUUUUCAGGUAACACUCAAGUGUGGAGAUUACAAAAUAUAUAACUUGCACAAUAUGCAGCUCUUAUGCUGUUUGUGAAAUGUACAAUAUGAUUGUUUCUCA